RNAcentral lists this ribosomal RNA (851 nucleotides) under Mucilaginibacter sp. Its description in RNAcentral is "bacterial SSU rRNA". It matches the Rfam family "Bacterial small subunit ribosomal RNA", at positions 22 to 874 of the family's 1533-position model. The record is from RNAcentral. Lineage: Bacteria; Pseudomonadati; Bacteroidota; Sphingobacteriia; Sphingobacteriales; Sphingobacteriaceae.
CCGUCAGAUGAACGCUAGCGGCAGGCCUAAUACAUGCAAGUCGGACGGGAUUGGAGAGCUUGCUUUUCAUGAGAGUGGCGCACGGGUGCGUAACACGUAUGUAACCUACCUUCACCAGGGGGAUAGCCUCUCGAAAGAGAGAUUAAGACCGCAUAACAUUAUAGGAUAGCAUUAUUUUAUAAUCAAAUAUUUAUAGGGUGAAGAUGGGCAUGCGGAACAUUAGCUAGUUGGUAAGGUAACGGCUUACCAAGGCUACGAUGUUUAGGGGAUCUGAGAGGAUGACCCCCCACACUGGUACUGAGACACGGACCAGACUCCUACGGGAGGCAGCAGUAAGGAAUAUUGGUCAAUGGGCGGAAGCCUGAACCAGCCAUGCCGCGUGCAGGAAGACGGCCCUACGGGUUGUAAACUGCUUUUAUACGGGAAUAAACCUAUCUACGUGUAGAUAGCUGAAUGUACUGUAAGAAUAAGGAUCGGCUAACUCCGUGCCAGCAGCCGCGGUAAUACGGAGGAUCCAAGCGUUAUCCGGAUUUAUUGGGUUUAAAGGGUGCGUAGGUGGCCUGUUAAGUCAGGGGUGAAAGACGGUAGCUCAACUAUCGCAGUGCCUUUGAUACUGACGGGCUUGAAUGAACUAGAGGUAGGCGGAAUGUGACAAGUAGCGGUGAAAUGCAUAGAUAUGUCACAGAACACCAAUUGCGAAGGCAGCUUACUAUGGUUUUAUUGACACUGAGGCACGAAAGCGUGGGGAUCAAACAGGAUUAGAUACCCUGGUAGUCCACGCCCUAAACGAUGAAUACUCGAUGUUGGCGAUAUACGGUCAGCGUCUAAGCGAAAGCGUUAAGUAUCCACCU